Pelobates cultripes (western spadefoot toad) is the source of this 309-nucleotide non-coding RNA. NCBI's taxonomy places the organism in Eukaryota, Metazoa, Chordata, Amphibia, Anura, Pelobatidae. The record is from the annotation of a GenBank genome assembly.
AUUAGUUAGGCAUGCAGUAAUAAACUACUGCCCUGCCACAUUUAUAACACACAAGCAUUGCUUCUCCUGACAUAUAACUGUUAUAAUCCACUUGAUGUUUUGCUUAUGGUUAUCUCCUUUAUUAUAAAUACGCUACUCUUGUUAGUAAUCUUAUCGAAUGCUUAAAUAAUAUAAAAUGAGGCAGUCCCUCAUAGGAGAUGUUGUACUGUGUUAACGUGACCCCAAGCUGUAUGAAAACCGUACAUCCCCUCUUCUUUAUUCUGUACCCCAUUUAACAAAUGCCUCAAUAAAAGAAAGAUUGGCAAAAAA